AUGGGCGAACCGCGCGGCGAUCCGACGGUGGAUUCGCCGCCGACGCACCAGACAUCGAGGACAACCGCUUCCGGCCCCAUGUCUCUCACAAUCAACGAGGAGCUCCCCAAGAGGCUGCGGCUGUCCUGCUUCCACGACGCCGGCGGCGAGGGGCAGGCGUCGAUCCGCGCCGAGUUGGGGCGGCCAAUGCAGAUGGACAUAAUGCGCUUCUACGAGGAGGCGCUGGGCAGGCUCCCCGUCGCCGACAUGCCGGAGGUUGUGCCGUGCGUCGAGCGCGGCGGCCACUGCAUCGGCCUCAUCGAUCCGGUGUCCAACAUCAUUCUCAACGCCCUCAACCUCCUGUGCCGUCGCAGGUGCAGCGGGAACGUCAAGGGGAAGCGACCUUCUGCGGCGCAGGUCGGCAGCAAGAGGAAGGAGGGAGAGGGGGAGGCGCCGCCCGCCCAGACCCAGCCCCCGGUGUUUCUAGCUUUUUGUUCCUACAAUGGCCUCCUUGCCUUCAUGCGGAUCUACUUCCGGUAUCUGUCCGAGGGGCAGGCCAUGCGCUACCUCCGCCUGGCCGGUGCCGACCUCGCUGUCGCAAUCCAGCUCGGCGAGAACCAGCAGUUCGGCCCCGAGGACCGUCACACCACCGGCGCCCCCGACCUCCGCUGCGGCAGGACCCAGUUCGCCCUCAAGGUCGCCGCGGCCGUGGCAGGGCACCCCGUGCCGGACGACCUGGUGCGGCUCGCGAAGCUUCUCGUCCCCUUGAGAGACCACGAUCGCACGCCCCUCGCUGCUGUGCUGGAGAAGGGCCGGCCCCUCAGCGUCGGCGACGUCGACGGCAUCCUCAGUUUCCUUCGGCUGCAGCACCACGCGGCCUCCCCUGCCGUCAAAGUCGCCUUCCGGCGCAGCCCUGAUACAGCUGACAUGGAGAUCGGGAGGAGCUUGUUUGGACUAGAAGCAGCAGGAGGGCAGGCGCUAGAAGCUGGUGAGCGGCCUGCCCGCUUCUUCUGCCCCGUCGGCGAAAACCACGUCGCCGAGGUAGUCGUCUCGCGCCGCCGUGAUGGACAUGUCUCUAGCAUCUGCGACCUGCGGACUCCGGACAAGAUGAAGCGGAUGUUUCUCGACUGUCUGGAUGCUGCUUGUAGAGAAUGA
Molecule: ribosomal RNA, 1134 nt
Filed under: Triticum aestivum (bread wheat)
Lineage: Eukaryota; Viridiplantae; Streptophyta; Magnoliopsida; Poales; Poaceae
Description: partial small subunit ribosomal RNA
Source: RNAcentral